AAGAAGCAAAGAAACAACGGAGGGACAGGAAGGAAGGGAGGAAGGAAGGAAAGCAGAAAGGAGGAGAGAAAGCAGCUUCCAGAACCAGGCCCCGGCAGGGAGUCCAGCGCGGGGACACAGGACGACUCGAUGCUGUGCGCCGCCGCGGCCCAGCUCACCCGGACCUUCUGGUCCAGGCAGUGAGGACGCAGCGGUCACCGGGACUCAAGGCCAGCGCACGGCGGUGACAGAGGACAGACCUGCAGCGCCCCUCCCGCCAUGGCUCCCACCCCGGCUGUCCCUGUCUUCUGGGCCACCCUGAGGCCUCCUCAGCGGCCCGUCAGCACCCACCUUCCAGGCCACCUACCUAAGCCCCGCUCCUGAGACCGCCUGCCACCGGCCUGCACGACAGCAGCACUGCUGCUGAACCCACACCCCCGACAGCCUGGCUCGCGGGCCCUCUGCCCUGCCCCGGCUGCCCAGCACGACACUCACACCACGUCCAACAGCAUCGAGGGUGCCCGAGUUCCAGCCGGCCGCGUCCCUGCGGCUCCAACCCCGAAAUGAAAUCAACGUCUCCAGACUUGUCUGCCACCGGGCCACCAGAAGCGUCUCCUCAGAGGCCGUGAGGGUCAGGGCCAUGCACCUGCUCACCACGGUCCUGGGAGGCCAGCGACACCACGGUUGGCUUGCACGUGGAGUGCCGACGUGGCCUGGGCUGGUCCUGUAGGACUCAUACAAACACCACAGCACCGCGCCCACAUCCUGCUUAGCUCAGAAACGGCCAUGCUCCAUCCUGUCCCUUCCUCUUUUGCCAGAGGGGGCGAGGGUCCACGGGGGCGAUCAUGAGACAGGACACUCGGGCUGGCCGCCGUGCCCCACCUGUCCCUCCAGAGAGUCACUGGCCCUGUUCCGGCAGCUGAGCCCAGAGAUGCCCCCACUGGGUGGUGGCCCACCUGAGCCCCCCUCCAGAGAGCCACGCCGGCCCCACAGGGGCCCGAGGAAGCCGAGCCCCCCAGCCCCGCACACCCCAGCCCCCCGCCAGCUCCGGGCACACGCUCUCACCUCCCAGGACUCUGCAUGUACUUGUAUUAUUUCAAUACAUGUAUUUCCUGAAAUUCUGUGACAUCCUACAUUAAGAUUUCUCACCAAUAAAACAAAAAUUUCUUGUC
Suricata suricatta (meerkat) is the source of this 1151-nucleotide long non-coding RNA. RefSeq lists it as uncharacterized. Lineage: Eukaryota; Metazoa; Chordata; Mammalia; Carnivora; Herpestidae. The record is from RefSeq and is a predicted model, not a curated record. The transcript has 3 exons.